GACGAACGCUGGCGGCGUGCUUAACACAUGCAAGUCGAACGGAAAGGCCCUGCUUUCGUGGGGUGCUCGAGUGGCGAACGGGUGAGUAACACGUGAGUAACCUGCCCUUGACUUUGGGAUAACUUCAGGAAACUGGGGCUAAUACCGGAUAGGAGCUCCUGCUGCAUGGAGGGGGUUGGAAAGUUUCGGCGGUCGGGGAUGGAUUCGCGGCUUAUCAGCUUGUUGGUGGGGUAGUGGCUUACCAAGGCUUUGACGGGUAGCCGGCCUGAGAGGGUGACCGGCCACAUUGGGACUGAGGUACGGCCCAGACUCCUACGGGAGGCAGCAGUGGGGAAUAUUGCACAAUGGGCGGGAGCCUGAUGCAGCAGCGCCGCGUGCGGGAUGACGGCCUUCGGGUUGUAAACCGCUUUCGCCUGUGACGAAGCGUGAGUGACGGUAAUGGGUAAAGAAGCACCGGCUAACUACGUG
Molecule: ribosomal RNA, 468 nt
Filed under: uncultured bacterium
Lineage: Bacteria
Description: partial 16S ribosomal RNA
Rfam family: Bacterial small subunit ribosomal RNA
Source: RNAcentral